UUUCAACACUCAAUAAGGAGAAAACCCUUCCCUCCAAGCCCCACUAUCGCCUUAGUCGGAGGUACACUGACAACAUUUCCACCGUCGGUCGUCAACAUUUCCGAAGUUUGUACCCAGUUUUCCCAAAUCACACACUUUCUGUUGGAGUAUUGCAUUACACAUUGACAACAUGGAAUUAAAAAGAAGAGAACAAAAGUCAAAGAUAGAAGAAUAGCCAGCUGGGAAGACAAUUUAGUUACUUUCUGUUAUACUAGUUGGAAGAGUAGUUCGUUUUUGUUGUUCUAGCUGGAAGAGGAGUUAGUUACUUUCAGUUCUUUUUGUUAGUUCAGUUCAAUGUAUUCUGGUGUCAAGUUGUAGUAUAAAUAUAGCCCAAGUCCGCUGUAAACAAUAAUUUUCAGAAUUUCAUUUCAGUUCAUUGAUGAAAUUGAAUUUUCUUCUUCACGUUUUUUUCCCAUUGUAUUCCACCUUGAUCUUGAGCUUGAAUCCAUCUGAUUCUCAAGAUGGUAUUAGAGCUUUAAUUCAUCAAAUCAACGAUUCCGCAACAUUAUCUUCUUGAAUUGGUGUUCUGCUCUGAAAUUUCCUGUACCGAUUUCUUAGAAUGAAUUCUGAUCACUCAUCUGUCAACCCUUCUAUCAAUUCUAAUGGUUCUUCUAUCAAUCCCUCAAAUGAUUCCUCAAGUCCAUAUUAUCUUCACCCAAGUGAUAAUCCUAGUACGUUAUUAGUAUCAGAAAUCUUUAAUGGAGAAAAUUACGUUGCCUGGAGUCGAUCAAUCAUAAUGGCUUUGAUAGUUAAGAACAAGGUAAAAUUCAUUAAUGGCUCUAUCACCCCUCCUGCUGCUGAUCAAACCAUUUAUCAUACGGCAUGGUUGCAUGCGAACAACCUAGUUCUUUCUUGGUUGAUGAAUUCAAUCUCUAAAGAUAUAUGAAACAACUUGCUAUUUGUGUCAUCUGUUGUUGAUCUCUGGAAUGAACUCAAGACAAGAUAUCUUAAGAGUGAUGGACCAAGAGUCUUUCAUCUUGAAAAGUCUUUGAGCUGUAUAAGUCAACGUUCUUUGUCUAUUACUGAAUAUUUCAGCAAUUUUAAAACCCUUUGGGAUGAAUACAUGAGCUAUAGGCCAUUUCCAACAUGUACAUGUGGAAAGAUGGCAUCAUGUACCUGUGAAUUGCUUAAAUACCUACAAGCUCGACAACAAUCUGAUU
This 1199-nucleotide long non-coding RNA is filed under the name Olea europaea subsp. europaea. The record is from RNAcentral. Lineage: Eukaryota; Viridiplantae; Streptophyta; Magnoliopsida; Lamiales; Oleaceae.